UAUAAAUACGCUCCUUUGUGUGUUUUAGUAGUAGCAUAGAGAAAGUCAUUUCGUAGUGAGUUUUCUCUAUGCUUUUAUUAUACUA
This is a non-coding RNA of Lactococcus lactis, 85 nucleotides long. The record is from Rfam. NCBI's taxonomy places the organism in Bacteria, Bacillati, Bacillota, Bacilli, Lactobacillales, Streptococcaceae.